AGCUAAUUUAAUGGUAUUUUAAUUUUUAUUAAAUGUAUAAACACGUUUCCAAAAAAUUUCGUACACACAAUUCCCUCUCCAGAAAAAGCAAAAUCGACUACUGUUGGUUUCUCUGAAAAAUCCAAUCACUUAGUUUUCGCGCUCCGUUUCAAAACCCUAGCUGUUCAAAUAUCGCCUUUCUCAGUACAUUUCGACGAUCGCCGCUUUGUUUCGCAAUUCAAUUCCGAUUUCUGGGAGUGUAUGCUGAAAAUUGGAGGAUGAACGAUGCGGGCACUGCGUGGCGGAUUGGGCAGAGGUAAGCGGAAGCAGCAGGACCAGCCAGUGGCGUAUAAGGGCGACAAGAACGUUGGCGAUAAUCAGAAUCAGGAUAGUGAGAAAAGAGGGAAGCCGGAAGGGGAAAACGCAGCGAUAGCUACGCGUACGAGGAGGAGGAAAGCGGCGGCAGCAGCAGCAGCAGCAGCAGCAGCGCUUGAAGUGAAGGUGGUUGAAGAGGAUAAGCUGGUUCCGGAGGAGGUCGGAGUGAAAUCAAUGGAUAGCGGCGGCAAAAGCCCAGAGAGGGAAAAUGUGGCUGAUGAUGAUUUACCCUCCACGCCCCUUCCUGAGAAGGUUCAGGUUGGUGGUUCACCAACAUACAGACUUGAAAAAAAGCUGGGAAAGGGAGGGUUUGGACAAGUGUAUCUUGGUCGCCGCAUCACUGGUGGUAAUGUUAAUGUAAGGACGGGUCCUGGAGCUAUAGAGGUGGCCUUAAAAUUUGAACAUCGCAACAGUAAAGGAUGUAACCAUGGUCCACCUCAUGAGUGGCAAGUUUACAAUACUUUAGGAGGAAGCCACGGUGUUCCAAGAGUCCACUACAAAGGCCGACAGGGUGAAUAUUAUAUCAUGGUAAUGGACAUUCUCGGACCAAGCCUGUGGGAUAUUUGCAAUAAUAAUUCUCAGAAUAAUAUGCCUAUGUCGGUUGAAAUGGUGGCUUGCAUUGCCAUCGAAUCAAUUUCUAUAUUAGAGAAAAUUCACGCCAGAGGGUAUGUUCAUGGGGAUGUGAAGCCUGAGAACUUCUUGCUUGGUGCUGUAGGAAGUCCUGAUGAAAAAAAGUUAUUCCUGGUUGAUCUUGGUUUAGCUACUAGAUGGAGAAAUGGUAAUACUGGCCUGCAUGUUGAAUAUGAUCAACGCCCGGAUAUUUUCAGGGGUACUGUUCGGUAUGCCAGUGUUCAUGCUCAUUUAGGUAGAGCAGAGAGUCGGAGAGAUGAUUUAGAAUCUCUUGUUUAUACACUGGUCUUUCUUUUGCAAGGACGUCUGCCUUGGCAAGGAUUGCAGGGUGAAAACAAAGGAUUUCUCGUUUGCAAGAAGAAAAUGGCGACAUCGCCAGAAGCGCUUUGCUGCUUCUUUCCACAGCCUUUCAAAUCGUUCGUGGAAUAUGUGGUAAAUUUGAAGUUUGACGAGGAACCUAAUUAUGCAAAAUGUAUCUCUCUCUUUGAUGGGUUAGUUGGACCAAAUCCAGAUAUCAGACCUAUCAAAACUGAGGGUGCACAGAAGCUUAUAUAUCAGGUUGGUCAAAAACGAGGUAGGCUGCCUUUUGAAGAUGAGGAAGAUAAACAGCCUAAGAAGAAAGUCCGACUGGGGUCGCCUGCAUUACAGUGGGUUAGCAUUUAUAAUGCUCGUAAACCUUUGAAACAAAGAUAUCACUAUAAUGUGACGGAUGCAAGGUUUUCACAGCUUGUUGCUAAGGGGAACGAAGAUGGCUUAUUCAUCAGUUGCACAGCAUCGUGCCAAAAUAUGUGGGCAUUGGUAAUGGAUGCCGGUACAGGCUUCACCUCUCAAAUAUAUCAACUGUCGCCUUUUUUUCUUGACAAGGAAUGGAUAAUAAAACAAUGGGAAAAGAAGUUCUACAUCAGUGCAAUCGCUGGAGCUACCAACGGUAGUUCCUUGGUUGUUAUGUCAAAAGGGACUCGUUAUGUGCAACAAUCCUACAAAGUCAGUGAGUCGUUUCCGUUCAAGUGGAUAAGCAAAAAGUGGAGCGAAGGUUUCUCCGUGACCUCCAUGGCUACGUCAGAGACUAAAUGGGGUGUGGUUAUGACCCGUGGUGCUGGAUUUUCGAAACAGGUUGUGGAGCUUGAUUUUCACUACCCGAGCGAGGGUAUCCACCAACGUUGGGGUCAGGGAUACCGUAUAACUGCAACAGCAGCAACUCCCGACCAGACAGCUUUUAUCCUAAGUGUGCCGAGAAGAAUGCCGGUAGAUGAAUCACAGGAGACGCUGCGUACAACCACGUUUCCGACCACACACAUCAAGGAAAAAUGGGCAAAAAAUCUGUUCAUUUCGUCAGUUUGCUAUGGGCGUACAGUUUCUUAGACGGCGCGACGCAUGAGGUUGAACGGCGUGAACAUCGGAACCACACAAGGAGUUUUGCGGCGAUUAGGGGCAGUACAGAAGGACCCUUACCCGAUUGGAGUGGCUGAUAAUUUACAUGAUUGCGUAUUUGAAGGAUUCUAAAAUCACUCAUUCCAUCAAAAUAUGCUGUCGAAAACCCGAUCGCAUGCACGGGUCGAUUCGUCGCCCUCAUAACAGCUGCAGCAAGCUCCGAGCCCUGCCGAGCUGCAAUGGCACCAGCUUAUGAUCCUCGCCAUCUUUAGCCGCCCAUUUUCAGCCUUGCAAGAACUCAUUUUUCCCAAACCCCAGAAAAAGAAAAUGCAGAUAAAAGAA
This is an RNA transcript of Salvia splendens (bonfire salvia), 2697 nucleotides long. It is a transcript of the gene named casein kinase 1-like protein HD16, with no coding region annotated. The transcript is spliced from 18 exons. NCBI's taxonomy places the organism in Eukaryota, Viridiplantae, Streptophyta, Magnoliopsida, Lamiales, Lamiaceae. The record is from RefSeq and is a predicted model, not a curated record.